This 253-nucleotide ribosomal RNA is filed under the name uncultured bacterium. RNAcentral's name for it is "partial 16S ribosomal RNA". It matches the Rfam family "Bacterial small subunit ribosomal RNA", at positions 524 to 776 of the family's 1533-position model. The record is from RNAcentral.
UACGGGGGGGGCAAGCGUUGUUCGGAAUUAUUGGGCGUAAAGAGCUCGUAGGCGGUCUGUCACGUCGGCUGUGAAAUCCCGAGGCUCAACCUCGGGCCUGCAGUCGAUACGGGCAGACUAGAGUUCGGUAGGGGAGACUGGAAUUCCUGGUGUAGCGGUGAAAUGCGCAGAUAUCAGGAGGAACACCGGUGGCGAAGGCGGGUCUCUGGGCCGAAACUGACGCUGAGGAGCGAAAGCGUGGGGAGCGAACAGG